This 253-nucleotide ribosomal RNA is filed under the name uncultured bacterium. Its description in RNAcentral is "partial 16S ribosomal RNA". It matches the Rfam family "Bacterial small subunit ribosomal RNA", at positions 524 to 776 of the family's 1533-position model. The record is from RNAcentral.
UACGGAGGGUGCGAGCGUUGUCCGGAAUCACUGGGCGUAAAGGGCGCGUAGGCGGCCGUGUAAGUCACUUGUGAAAUCCCGGGGCUCAACCCCGGGGCUGCAGGUGAGACUGCGUGGCUAGAGCACGGUAGAGGCGAGUGGAAUUCCCGGUGUAGCGGUGGAGUGCGUAGAUAUCGGGAAGAACACCGGUGGCGAAGGCGGCUCGCUGGGCCGUUGCUGACGCUGAGGCGCGAAAGCGUGGGGAGCAAACAGG